CUGUUUGUAUUUCCAUCCAUUGACUGUUUGUUGACUAACAUAAAGACAAAAUUACCCCUGGCACUCAAAAAGACUUAAAUACACCCUUCUCCUUCCUUGAGCACCAAAUAUCACAUUAAACAUUAAAACACUUAAAAUGCCGUUGAGGAAAAAAAACAAAAAUAUAUUGACAUUAAACAUUUAUCAACUAAAAAAAUAAUUCAUCAGACAGAGUAAUAAAUACAAAGAGUUUAAUAUUUUAGUUACAUUGAGAUUUAAUAAAAAAUACAUAGUUGUCUUGAGAAAAUGUAAAAUUGAGAUUACAAAUACAAAUUCGUGUGUGUGUAAAGAGGUAUAAAAGACAAUUUGAUUUCAAUAGCAACCGAAUAGCAUUUUAAAACUAUUCCCAAUCGCAAGAUACUUUGUCGUCAUCUCCUAUGCAUUAAGAAUUUAUUCUCCACAACUUGAAUCAAUGCCCCUUUCACUUCUACUUAUUUUUGAAGUAGAGCUAUCUAUUUUUUUAAUUUGUUUUAGCAUAUCCUACCCUUUUUCUCUCCAUUUGCUCCUGCCAAUUAUUGAAUAUGCUGAUGAAGAAACUGUAAGUAAAACAAAGAAAGAAAGAAAAAUCUAGAACAAUGAAAGAAAAACAAAAACUAGAACAAGAAAAGUCAGUUUACUUCAAUGUAUUCCAAUGAUAACAACAACAGAAAUUGCAAGUCAUGGAUCCCCAUCUUAGCAUCUGAUGUUACUCCAUUCAGAAAUGUUACUACUAUUUUCAUUUUGUACAUUCAACUUCUAAUAAGUUACAGAGCCAUUUAAAAUUGAAAUUGCAAAUCAAGACAUAAGACAGAUUCAAUAACACAAAUAAUUUAAAUCUUUUACACAAAUAUCAUCCAUCAUCCACUUAGGUUAAUGUGAUGAAAGAAAUAUUCUCAAUUUCAUAUUUUCAUAAGCAAUUUGCACACAACUCUAAAAUAAAAGACACUGGAACAUGAUGUUGUUAAGUUUUAUAAAACUUACAGUCCCUACAGCAAAGUUUGGUGACAUAAACGUGUUUGCGUUAAAACAAGAAAGACGAAAAUGGCAAACCUAGAUGAACAAAGUUGAUAUUAAAAAGAAGGAAUUAAAUCAGCUUCAUCAUAUGAAACAAAAAUUGGAAUCCACAAAGCGUGCAUGUACAGAAGAAGAUGUCAAUCAAAAUUCGAAAUGAGUGGCAACACCACCGUAGAAGAUGGGGAAAAAUAUACGCUAAGUACUAAAACGAAGACACUAGUAACUUUCAGUUGAAAUUAUAAUAAGAAAUUAAUUUUAGCUUUUUGCAGUUGAUGAUUUCAAAUCGCAUCUAAAUUGAUAUAUGGAACAAUUGAAUUAUAUUAUGCUUCUCCCCUAACAUACCACAUAAAUAAAACAAUCAAUUGAAAGCCGCAAACCAUUUCAAAUACCUAAACUCACUGAUCCAACACAAAAGAAUGUAGCAGAGCAUUUUUGUUUUUCUCAAACCAAGGCAUGUAAAUACCACAAUCUAAACCACCAAAAAAGGGAAAAAAAUUAAAAACCCUUAUAACAAAAUUGCAUCUAUAUACACUUCAAGCAAAUCUUCAACAAGCAUUUUCAUCUAUCACGAAUCCAUGGAAAAAAUCAAAAGUACACAACUAAAAAUCUAAAACAAUUUUCAAGACCCUUUUUCAAUUAAUUACAAAACCAUAAAAGAUAUUCGACUUAACUUUAUCUUCAACAUGAUUUGGGUUAAUCAUUUAACCGUAACUAACGCGAAUCGAUGGAAAAAUCAGGAGAAACAGCUACAUUCUCAAACAAUUUUGAGACCCAUUUUCAAUUUUUCACUAGAAAUUCUAAUUUUAGCCAAUGAAAAUAACAUGCACUAAAAGAAAUUGAUACAUACCUCAUUCACAUCUCCAAAACAACAUGAUGUUUGGUCGUUCGAUGGCGAAACUCACUAGUUGUGAAUCAUUCGUCAUCAAUAUUGACGUCGUCAACUUUGUCGUCAUGGUCUCUAGUUUGUGGGCACAGUUCUUGAUCAAUUCAUUAUAGAGAAAAGAAAAUGGGUUUUGAGCUACCGUGCUUCGAUUUUGGUGGAGGAAAUAGACGAGCUGUAUUUCUAUUUUUGGCGGAUGAAAGAGAUGAAUGGAGUUCAGAGUCCAAUGUGAAAAUCUUAAAUGUUUUAAAACUUUUUAUCAUUAACUUAUUCAAUUACGAUCUUG
RNAcentral lists this long non-coding RNA (2198 nucleotides) under Citrus x clementina. Its description in RNAcentral is "Citrus clementina (C. clementina) long non-coding RNA (CCLE_LNC006837)". The record is from RNAcentral. Lineage: Eukaryota; Viridiplantae; Streptophyta; Magnoliopsida; Sapindales; Rutaceae.